CCUACGGGAGGCAGCAGUGAGGAAUAUUGGUCAAUGGGCGCGAGCCUGAACCAGCCAAGUCGCGUGAGGGAAGACGGCCCUACGGGUUGUAAACCUCUUUUGCCGGGGAGCAAAGGGCGCCACGUGUGGCGCCACUGAGAGUACCCGGAGAAAAAGCAUCGGCUAACUCCGUGCCAGCAGCCGCGGUAAUACGGAGGAUGCGAGCUUUAUCCGGAUUUAUUGGGUUUAAGGGGUGCGUAGGCGGAGCGUUAAGUCAGUGGUAAAAUUGAGGGGCUCAACCUCUUCCGGCCAUUGAAACUGGCGCUCUUGAGUGGAAGAGAAGGAUGCGGAAUGAGUGGUGUAGCGGUGAAAUGCAUAGAUAUCACGCAGAACCCCGAUUGCGAAGGCAGCAUGCCGGCUUCCUACUGACGCUGAAGCACGAAAGCGUGGGGAUCGAACAGGAUUAGAUACCCUAGUAGUC
This 460-nucleotide ribosomal RNA is filed under the name uncultured bacterium. RNAcentral describes it as "partial 16S ribosomal RNA". It matches the Rfam family "Bacterial small subunit ribosomal RNA", at positions 338 to 795 of the family's 1533-position model. The record is from RNAcentral.